This 125-nucleotide small RNA is filed under the name Marmota monax (woodchuck). Lineage: Eukaryota; Metazoa; Chordata; Mammalia; Rodentia; Sciuridae. The record is from RNAcentral.
GUUGGGCAUGGUGGCGCACACCUGUAAUCCCAGUGACUUGGGAGACUGAGGCAGGAGGAUCACGAGUUCAAAGCCAGCCUCAGCAAAAGUGAGGCUCUAAGCAACUCAGUGAGGCCCUGUCUCUA